CAUCCUAAGGAUGAAGGGGACAUCUCUUCCUUAUCCAGGGCUCCUGGUGCUGGCCUGGGAUCUGCUCUCAAGGGCUCCUGGGGAACGAAGGACCAUGUGGGAUUAAAGUCAGCCGGCCAUGUUCCAAAAGGCCAGGGCUUCCCUCUCCUUCACUUCCAAUGGAACAAGGAGGAGGAGGAGGCCAUAGAGUUCCACAGCCUGAGAGAGACCUCACUGGCUGACUGGCUAUCUAUCCAACCUCGAGUGUCCAGAUUGAACGGGGCCUGGGGCACUGCAUCUUUCAACCAGAUCUGGUUUCCACUGGAAGAAAUAUGUCACCAGGGGACCAGCUCUGCGGGUUCGAAGCCAAGUGCAGUUCCCAGUUUGCUAUCUAGUUUGCGUUUGCAGUUUAAGCUCAGCAGUUCCAACUCGCAAGCCUAGUCUACUCUGCCAUCAUGGGCUCCUAACUCUCUGGAACCAUAAGCCCAAAUAAAAUACUCUUAUACCAGUUGUCUUGGUCCUGG
This 503-nucleotide long non-coding RNA is filed under the name Mus spicilegus (steppe mouse). Its description in RNAcentral is "lncRNA (ENSMSIG00000007992.1)". Lineage: Eukaryota; Metazoa; Chordata; Mammalia; Rodentia; Muridae. The record is from RNAcentral.